This is a non-coding RNA of Chiloscyllium plagiosum (whitespotted bambooshark), 1808 nucleotides long. NCBI's taxonomy places the organism in Eukaryota, Metazoa, Chordata, Chondrichthyes, Orectolobiformes, Hemiscylliidae. The record is from RefSeq and is a predicted model, not a curated record.
UCGAUGGUGCCCUCUGUUCCUAUAGAUGGUGCCCUCUGUUCCUAUCGAUGGUGCCCUCUGUUCCUAUCGAUGGUGCGCUCUGUUCCUAUCGAUGGUGCCCUCUGUCCCUACAGAUGGUGCCCUCUGAUCCUAUAGAUGUUGCCCUCUGUUCCUAUCGAUGGUGCCCUCUGUCCCUACAGAUAGUGCCCUCUGUCCUUACAGAUGGUGCCCUCUGUUCCUAUAGAUGGUGCCCUCUGUUCCUAUCGAUGGGUGCCCUCUGUUCCUAUCGAUGGUGCGCUCUGUUCCUAUCGAUGGUGCCCUCUGUUCCUAUCGAUGGUGCAUACUGUUGCUAUAGAUGGUACACGCUGUUCCUGUCGAUGGUGGCCUCUGUGUCAGUGGUGAAGGGAGUGAAUGUUGAACCUUAACCCUAUAGCAGGUGCCAUUCAAAUGGGCUGUUUUGUCUUGGGUGACAUUGAGCUUAUUGAGUGUUGUUGUAGCUGUGAUAAAUAACAAUUAGAGUCCCUGAAGUUUUACACAGACCUGCGGUAAGGGCAGGUUUGGAUAGUUUGGCCAGCGAACACCUUUGUGUGCCGUUGCAAUCAGAGGUUUGGCCUUAGUUUGAAUGUGCAGCUUGUUUAGAUGGAGAAAGCUGGUAAUGAUUUACACUGUCACAAAGUACUGCACUCCCACAUCGUCCUUAAAUCAUUCCUAAGUUGUCAGCACUUCCAGUGAACAAACAGAACUAGGGCAGAAGAUGUGGAACACUUUAACCUAGUUACUUACUCAAAACUUGCAAAGCAAUACAGUGUUUUGUUCAUGUUCAGCGAACUGGCUGUGCCCCACAGAGGGCUCUCAGCUCAGGCAGUGUUUGGGGGAGGUGGGGAUGGGGGGUUGCCUCGACACCUUGUCUAAACCAGAGUCAGCCUGACCUUUCAUGGAUACAGUAAAUUGGUGGAUAUGUUCAUCGGAUAAUAAGUCAGGGACCUGAACUAAUUAUCAUAAGAGUCAUAAAAAGCGCCAUCUUGUUUAUCAGUAUCCUUUAGGGAAGGAAAUCUGCCAUCCUCACUCAGUCUGGCCAACAUGUGACCCACAGCAAUGUGGUUGACUCUUAACUGCCCUCAGAAUUGACCCAAACCAUUUGUGGCUCACUACUGCCUUCUGAAGGGGUAGGAGUUUACGGGCAAUAAAUGCUGCCCUUACCAGCAAUGCCGCCACUCUGUUAGCGACAAGAGAUGACACUUCCGCAACUUCCUGUCUUUCCCUGUGCACGGAUGUUGAUUGGUCCACUGCAGUGUUUUGAGCCUCAGUCCCUGGUUUCCCCACGUUUGUGGAGUGUUGCUUUCGGUUGUCUGUCCCACUGACAGUUCCAUUCCGUUUUCUGGCCAGGUAUCGAAGGGAAGGCUGGAAUGGCUGCCAUCGCUGAUCCCAAGAACAAAAUCAAUCCUGACCUCUUCUCCCAGGACCUGAUAAAGGUGCUGCCUCCAUACGCCAGGCCAGUCUUCCUCCGCAUCCUCCCUGUCGUGGAUACCACAAGUACUUUCAAAAUCCAGAAGACAAGAUUGCGAAAAGAGGGUUUUGACUUGCACCAGACAAAUGACAGACUGUACUUCCUGGAUUCCAGACUGGGGAAGUACAUUCCCCUCGAUAAGAACGUCUAUGACGCUAUCCUGGCUGGAAAUUACCAUCUAUAGUUCGAUGAAUCGAGUACUGGGCAGUUAACAAUGUUUCUCUUUUUAAAAAAAAAAUCACCAAGAAAAGGAUGAAGGGCUUGACUUGUCUGAAGAGUUAAAUUAAAACCUGCCCAGAGCAAGAAAAAAACAAAUGUGAAA